CAUUACAGUCGCAGCAAGCAAGAUUGAUCGAUCUUUUCCAACUACCAUUACCCUGGGAAACAAGAAGAAAUUAAUUGUAUGUAGUAGAGGCACAUUAUUCUUUUGGAAUGCUGGGGGGGCACCUUCUAGGCUUCUAUUCCACUAAUGUCUAAUAGUCUCUUAUAUAUAUUUGCAGGGCCAAUCACUAUAUUACAUGUUGAAGAACGAAUCCAACAGCAGAUUCCAGACACUUGUAAACGGUGGCAAGUAUGUUUGAGUGCUGUUCAGUUUCUUAAUUAAUUACAUUUUUCAAUAUAUGCCGGAUCUAAGUUGGAAGUACUUGUGAGCAAUCAUUUUCAUUUUUCUGUUUACAGCUGUUCAAGGGAAGCGCUAAAUGGCACAAAUAUCAAGGGAAAAGUUGUUCUCUGCAUUGAAAUAACUUUUGGCCCAGUAGCAAAAAUUUUCAAAGAUGCCUUAGCAAAUGUCCAUAGUGGUGGCGCAUCUGGCCUUAUUUUGGCUCUAUAUACCACAGAUUUUCUUGUGAGCACUGAGGGAUGCCAAGGCAUGCCCUGUGUUUUAAUUGACAUUGAUAUUGGGUUUCAAGUUCUAACAUACAUUGGCAGUCAACGGUAAGAAUUAUUUUGUGAGCUACCAAGCUUAGCGGUUAUAUUUUCUCCACAACCACAAAAAAUCUUAAAUAGUCUAGUAAUGUAAUUGUGUAGAUUACCAAUUGUAAAGAUUGAGCCAGCAAGCAGCGUUACAGGAAAACAAGUUCUGGCACCAAAGGUUGCAAUGUUCUCCUCAAGAGGCCCAUCCAUCAAAUACCCUACAAUUCUUAAGGUACACAAGCUGAACACAGUGAAUCCAUUUUGUAUAGACAAUCUAAAUUGUUUUGGGGAAAGUCAUCUACAUUUUACCUGUGCAUGCAUCUUGUGACAAAAAUAUAGAACAUAAGGAUAUAGGCUGAUAUUUAAUUUAUUACAUAAGUUAGCUAUGAUUUAUUGCAACAGCACUUUCCUGAUCUUGGCAUUACCACUUUUAACAGCCUGACAUAGCAGCCCCAGGAGUCAACAUUUUAGCAGCCACAAAAGAUGCGUACGUAUUUAACUCAGGAACAUCAAUGGCAACACCACAUGUAGCAGGUGUUGUGGCAUUGCUAAAGGUUCUACAUCCCCAAUGGUCUCAUGCUGCCCUAAAAUCUGCAAUUAUCACCUCUGGUAAUCAUCUCAUCCUCAUGAAAUGCUAUAUCGGUGAACUCAUAUGCACCACCUUACUUAUGAUUUACCUAUUGCAUGGAAAAAGCAUCAACCAAGGAUGAACAUGGCACGCCAAUUUUAGCAGAAGCACUACCUAGGAAGGUAGCUGACCCAUUUGACUAUGGAGGGGGGAACAUAAAUCCUAAUGGAGCUGCUGAUCCUGGCCUCAUUUACGACAUUGAUCCAAGGGAGUACAACAAGUUCUUUGAAUGCCAGAUCAAGAAAUACGAGAUUUGCAACAUCACAACGAAGCCAGCCUAUCACCUAAACCUGCCAUCUAUAUCUAUUCCUGAACUGAGGCACACAAUUAAGGUGGAGAGAACAGUGACAAAUGUUGGCAAGAUCGACGCGGUUUAUCGAUCAGACAUUCAGUCCCCCUUAGGAGUCAAGAUCAGAGUUGAACCAGCAACACUAGUCUUCAAUUCCACAAAGAAAGUGCACACCUUCAAGGCUAGCAUAAAACCACUGUGGAAGGUGCAAGGGGACUACACAUUUGGCAGCCUGACUUGGUACAACGAGCAGCAUACAGUGAGGAUCCCAAUAGCAGUCCGGAUCACAAUACAAGAUUUCUAUGCCGAUGUUGCAUGAUCUGAAGCAGAUGGCUGGAGAAUAAAGAUCGGUAGCCCAUACAUUACUUUUUAUGUGCAUCAAAAAUAAGACGAUUACUUGAAAUUGGUACUUAUAAAGCAUUGGCAUUUGGCAAUAAGAAGACUUUUGGGGUGUUACAAUUAUUAGGUUAACUGGUUACUGGUGAGGUCCAAAUCUUUGUUUUAUCACGGUUAAUCGAAGGACGGGAUCAAUGCGAGCAGAGAGAGGAUGGGACGUACGCGUAGCUGGCGGCGCAGGACGCCGAGGGGUUCGCCGGGCUUGCCGUGGCGGGCGGCGCUUCUUCCGCCGUCGGAUGUGGGGGUAGGCAAGGAGUUCGGGACGGGGGCUCUCUAUGCAUGUGAACUUCCAGCCCAACGCCGACCCAUCCUCCCCUUCAUCUUUUUCCCUGCACAGCUCACCAUCCCC
RNAcentral lists this long non-coding RNA (2249 nucleotides) under Setaria italica (foxtail millet). Its description in RNAcentral is "long non-coding RNA (SITA_LNC004044)". Lineage: Eukaryota; Viridiplantae; Streptophyta; Magnoliopsida; Poales; Poaceae. The record is from RNAcentral.